ACGACGGGAGUAACGCGUAUCCGAACCUGCCCGCUAACUCGGGUAUAGCCCAGUGAAAACUGGAUUAAUCCCCGAUGGCAUCUUACGCUGACAUCAAAGUAAGAUUAAAGGUUACGGUAGCGGAUGGGGAUGCGUCCGAUUAGCUAUGUUGGCGGGGUAACGGCCCACCAAGGGCGACGAUCGGUAGGGGUUCCUGAGAGGAAGGUCCCCCACAUUGGAACUGAGACACGGUCCAAACUCCUACGGGAGGCAGCAGUGAGGAAUAUUGGUCAAUGGACGAGAGUCUGAACCAGCCAAGUAGCGUGCAGGAUGACGGCCCUAUGGGUUGUAAACUGCUUUUAUCAGGGAAUAAAGUGCGGCACGCGUGCCGUUUUGUAUGUACCUGACGAAUAAGGACCGGCUAAUUCCGUGCCAGCCGCGGC
This 422-nucleotide ribosomal RNA is filed under the name uncultured bacterium. RNAcentral's name for it is "bacterial SSU rRNA". It matches the Rfam family "Bacterial small subunit ribosomal RNA", at positions 100 to 518 of the family's 1533-position model. The record is from RNAcentral.